UACAAUAUGGUGUAUGUGCACGUAAAUUUUUGGAUUUUAAAGGAAAAGUUCAAUUCUUUUUUUUGUAG
Molecule: transfer RNA, 68 nt
Filed under: Lusepiola birostrata
Lineage: Eukaryota; Metazoa; Mollusca; Cephalopoda; Sepiida; Sepiolidae
Description: tRNA-Gln
Rfam family: tRNA
About the family: Transfer RNA (tRNA) molecules are approximately 80 nucleotides in length. Their secondary structure includes four short double-helical elements and three loops (D, anti-codon, and T loops). Further hydrogen bonds mediate the characteristic L-shaped molecular structure. tRNAs have two regions of fundamental functional importance: the anti-codon, which is responsible for specific mRNA codon recognition, and the 3' end, to which the tRNAs corresponding amino acid is attached (by aminoacyl-tRNA synthetases). tRNAs cope with the degeneracy of the genetic code in two manners: having more than one tRNA (with a specific anti-codon) for a particular amino acid; and 'wobble' base-pairing, i.e. permitting non-standard base-pairing at the 3rd anti-codon position.
Source: RNAcentral